CCUAAGGGAGGCAGCAGUGGGGAAUAUUGGACAAUGGGCGAAAGCCUGAUCCAGCCAUGCCGCGUGUGUGAAGAAGGCCUUCGGGUUGUAAAGCACUUUCAGUGGGGAAGAAAGCCUUGGGGCUAAUACCCUCGAGGAAGGACAUCACCCACAGAAGAAGCACCGGCUAACUCCGUGCCAGCAGCCGCGGUAAUACGGAGGGUGCGAGCGUUAAUCGGAAUUACUGGGCGUAAAGCGCGCGUAGGCGGUCUGAUAAGCCGGUUGUGAAAGCCCCGGGCUCAACCUGGGAACGGCAUCCGGAACUGUCAGGCUAGAGUGCAGGAGAGGAAGGGAGAAUUCCCGGUGUAGCGGUGAAAUGCGUAGAGAUCGGGAGGAAUACCAGUGGCGAAGGCGGCCUUCUGGACUGACACUGACGCUGAGGUGCGAAAGCGUGGGUAGCAAACAGGAUUAGAUACCCUGGUAGUC
Molecule: ribosomal RNA, 465 nt
Filed under: Vreelandella stevensii
Lineage: Bacteria; Pseudomonadati; Pseudomonadota; Gammaproteobacteria; Oceanospirillales; Halomonadaceae
Description: partial 16S ribosomal RNA
Rfam family: Bacterial small subunit ribosomal RNA
Source: RNAcentral